GAUCCUGGCUCAGGAUGAACGCUAGCGGCAGGCCUAAUACAUGCAAGUCGAGGGGCAGCACGGUAGCAAUACUGGUGGCGACCGGCGCACGGGUGCGUAACACGUAUGCAACCUGCCUUCAACUGGGAGAUAGCCCGGGGAAACUCGGAUUAAUACCCCAUAACACAGUGAAACAGCAUUGUUUUAUUGUUAAAGCUCCGGCGGUUGAAGAUGGGCAUGCGUUCGAUUAGCUAGUUGGUGUAGGUAAUGGCUCACCAAGGCUACGAUCGAUAGGGGGUCUGAGAGGAUGAUCCCCCACACUGGUACUGAGAUACGGACCAGACUCCUACGGGAGGCAGCAGUAGGGAAUAUUGGUCAAUGGACGCAAGUCUGAACCAGCCAUGCCGCGUGCAGGAAGACGGCCCUCUGGGUUGUAAACUGCUUUUGAUAGGGAACAAAUGCCACUUGCGAGUGGAGCUGAGUGUACCUAUAGAAUAAGCACCGGCUAACUCCGUG
This 495-nucleotide ribosomal RNA is filed under the name uncultured bacterium. Its description in RNAcentral is "bacterial SSU rRNA". It matches the Rfam family "Bacterial small subunit ribosomal RNA", at positions 15 to 507 of the family's 1533-position model. The record is from RNAcentral.